CGAGGCACCACCUCCUCCCUGCUGGAAGGGGCCAGGCUGAGGGGCGAUGUCCGGUGCUAACCAAGCACAGCUCCGCUAGGGUAUACUCAGGCGGCACAGCCCCACGAGCCAGCCAGUGUCUACCGGGCCGAGGCCAGCCAUCCCAGGACUCAGGGAACGGACUCUGCCGAACACACGCUCCUUGAUCUUUGAGCACGGGCUAUGUGCUUCUGAGCUCCGUCCUGCCUCCCUGGGACCAGCACCUGUGGCCACUUUCCACAAGUGCCAGCGGUCCUCAGUGCAGCAGCUCUCCGAGGCCCUCAGACCCAGGCCCGCCCCCUCCCCCUGCCAGCAGCUCCACUACACGAGCUGCUCCCCGGGGGGGGGGGCACUCCCCCCUGCUGCCCACCUGACCCCGGGCUCUGCCAGACUGGAGGGUCCUGGGGCGGUGUCUUCCCCUUUCUCAGCCGUAGGCAUGGCCUUGUCGUGCCUUGUCCCUCCCGCUGCCCCCUGGGUGGCUCAGCGUUUGCUGGGCCAGAAGGCCCACCGCCAACUCCUCAUCCCACCCGCCAACUCCUCCACCCCCCCGCGGCCUUGGGAGCCCGAGGCGGAGGUGAGCAGGACAGAUUGCGCAGAGCACCGCUGAGAUGUGCAAAGGGACGGGCCUCCUCACAGCCAGCAGCCUGGGGGAGCUCUGCCCCCUCGGGAUCUGGGGUCCGGGCCUGUCCGCAGGGUGGCCCUGGGGCUUCAUCUUUCUCGGAAAGGGCAGAACCUGGGGUGGGAGGGGAGCCGGGGACAGGGCUGGGAGCAGGGCUCAGCUGCGGAGGUGAUGGCCUAUCACGGUCUCUGACUGCUCCUUGGGACCUGGCCUCUCAGCGCACAUUUCCCAGCCCCAGAGACGUUUCUGGACAUGGCUAUUCCUCUGUCCCUGGCCCCGCAGUGCUGGGGGAAGCUGCUGGACGAAGGGAAGGACGGGGGAGGAAGACCAGGGCUGUACAAGGGGUUGCAAAGCCUGUAGUCCAAGAAUACGGCGUGGGGUACAAGGCCAUCUCUCCGCAGCGGCCUUUGCUGAAGUGCAGUGGACAGUGGUCUGGAAGAG
Molecule: long non-coding RNA, 1078 nt
Filed under: Ailuropoda melanoleuca (giant panda)
Lineage: Eukaryota; Metazoa; Chordata; Mammalia; Carnivora; Ursidae
Description: lncRNA (ENSAMEG00000028626.1)
Source: RNAcentral